This 380-nucleotide ribosomal RNA is filed under the name uncultured eukaryote. Its description in RNAcentral is "partial 18S ribosomal RNA". It matches the Rfam family "Eukaryotic small subunit ribosomal RNA", at positions 592 to 976 of the family's 1831-position model. The record is from RNAcentral.
CAAUAGCGUAUAUUAAAGUUGUUGCGGUUAAAAAGCUCGUAGUUGGAGUUCUGCCAGGUGACACUCGUCCGCCCAAGUGGUGUGUACAGGGUGUGCAUCUGGCCCUUUCAAGGGGAACGUGUCUGCACUUCAUUGUGUGGUGCGAGAUCCUUGACUUUUACUUUGAGGAAAUAAGAGUGUUCCAAGCAGGCUCUCGUCGUGCAUAGCUCAGCAUGGAAUAAUAGCAUUGGACUUCGUUUCUACGCUGUUGGUUGCAAGAAGCGAGGUAAUGAUGAAGAGGGAUAGUUGGGGGCAUUCGUAUUUAACAGUCAGAGGUGAAAUUCUUGGAUUUGUUAAAGACGGACUACUGCGAAAGCAUCUGCCAUGGAUGUUUUCAUUGA